GACGAACGCUGGCGGCGUGCUUAACACAUGCAAGUCGAACGGUGAAGCGCCUUUCUUUUUGGUGGGUGUGGAUGAGUGGCGAACGGGUGAGUAACACGUGAGUAACCUGCCCCCUUCUUCUGGAGAACCGCAGGAAAGUGUGGCUAAUACGGGAUAUUCUGGGUCUGUCGCAUGAUGGGUCUGGGAAAGAUAUUGUUUCGGUGGGGGAUGGGCUCGGGGCCUAUCAGCUUGUUGGUGGGGUGAUGGCCUACCAAGGCGGUGACGGGUAGCCGGCCUGAGAGGGUGGACGGUCGCGCUGGUGCACGGCCACGGCCGGGACUCGUACGGGAGCCAGCAGUGACGAGUAUCGGACGAUAGGCGUAAGGCUGAUGCAGCGACGCCGCGUGACGGAUGGGGGCCUUCGGGUUGUGAGCCCCUUUCGCCAGUGACGCAGUCCUGCCUCGUUUGUGCGUGGGUUGACGGUAGCUGGAUAAGAAGCGCCGGCUAACUACGUG
Molecule: ribosomal RNA, 494 nt
Filed under: uncultured bacterium
Lineage: Bacteria
Description: partial 16S ribosomal RNA
Rfam family: Bacterial small subunit ribosomal RNA
Source: RNAcentral